Non-coding RNA from Triticum urartu, 1466 nucleotides. Lineage: Eukaryota; Viridiplantae; Streptophyta; Magnoliopsida; Poales; Poaceae. The record is from RefSeq and is a predicted model, not a curated record.
AGAGAAGAAAGAUGUCCCCUCUCCCCGACCUCUCAUCUCUCUCCCACGAUGUGUGCACCGCCGCCAGGUCCGUUGCUCAUCUGGUUAAUCCCGACGGGCAUAUUUUCUUUCUGCCCUACCUCAGCAGACCUCCUCCCCUGAGCGCUCCCCUCCCUCAGGAGACCUCCUCCCCGACCUCUCGUUUUCUCUACCGACGGCCGAACUGGUGGUGUACCGCCGCCGUCGCGGCGCUGAAGCCGGCGAGAUCCUGCGUCCCCAUCGUGACCCGGAUUCCCUAUGCCACCAGUACGCCGGACACCUCAAGAUUCGUAUGUGGAAGGAGGUGCAUGGGAGAAAAGAUGCCAGAGUUGCGUAGUGGAGUGUGAUAAUAUAUUCAAGUCAAGGAAAGUUGUGUUGACCAACACGAUUAUCCAUCACGUCCAGCGGGAACGCUGCAAGAAUCAUGGCCCCCAUGUGUGCUAUUGUCCAACACAGCCGCUGCCCUUUCACACUACCUCCACGCCGGUUGUAUUUUCCCUACAGGUACAGCUCGCUUCUCUCCUGCAAUAUGACUAGGCUGGAGCUGGGUGUCAUGGCUUCAGAGGCGUCAACAUUGACAGCAGGAAUGGAUGCAUUAGUGUCUGCAAUUUAUUCCGAGGAGAAAUCACAUCCAGAGAAAAAACAAGAAUGAGUUGUCUAACCCGGUUAGCUAUCCACCUAUGUAUUUUUCUUUUUAUUCUAUGUAUUCAUUACUCAUUUCAGUCACUCUUCAUCUCUUGAAAUUAUUAUAGAAACAAAUAUCUUUUUCGGCUGUUGUGUGCAAAUCAUAUUUGAAGUUUCCAUGCACAACGAGGAUGAUUAUGUGCCUCUUUUAAGUCGUCCACGGUCAGAUUCAUUCUUGUCUUGGCUCUAACUUGGGCAAAAACUGGAAUAUCCUCUUUGGGAAUGAUGUUAGUUAGAAACUCAAUAUUAAUUUUGUACUUUAAGAAAGAGUCAAGUUUGUUAUGUAGCAUUAUAUUUGGCUCAGAUAGUUCUUGGAUGCCUUCCACGGGUCGAUGGGACGUUUUGCUCACCUUGCAAAAGUAAAGCAAUGAAGAAAUUUGUAAGGUGGGAACACUCAAAAUCUCACAGAGACUGGAUGCAUACUUUCAUCAGUUGAACCAAUUACUCAUGGAAGGAACAAAAGAUCCAAGCUAGGAAGGCAUUUUUCAAACGCACAAGCAUAAGUCAUGGAAUAAUUGCUAUUGGUGGUUACAAAAUUCAUGUAUGUCGAUGUGAUGUCUAUGAAAGAUGUUAAAUCUGCUUGAUGUAUAUGUCUAAUCUUUAUGUUGGCGAACAGGUGGAUGUUGACUACAUUAACAUUUCCUUGUGUUGCCUUAUUAGUGUAUGCCAAAAAAUGCAAAUCAUGUGGAAAUGCAAGAACAUGAGCUUCUGUUCUUUGCUUUCCUUUUGGUUGCACAAGCUUGAUGUUAUUAUCUCUCACAUAA